This 497-nucleotide ribosomal RNA is filed under the name uncultured bacterium. RNAcentral describes it as "partial 16S ribosomal RNA". It matches the Rfam family "Bacterial small subunit ribosomal RNA", at positions 28 to 507 of the family's 1533-position model. The record is from RNAcentral.
GAUGAACGCUGGCGGCGUGCCUAAUACAUGCAAGUCGAGCGAACGGACGAGAAGCUUGCUUCUCUGAUGUUAGCGGCGGACGGGUGAGUAACACGUGGAUAACCUACCUAUAAGACUGGGAUAACUUCGGGAAACCGGAGCUAAUACCGGAUAAUAUUUUGAACCGCAUGGUUCAAAAGUGAAAGACGGUCUUGCUGUCACUUAUAGAUGGAUCCGUGCUGCAUUAGCUAGUUGGUAAGGUAACGGCUUACCAAGGCAACGAUGCAUAGCCGACCUGAGAGGGUGAUCGGCCACACUGGAACUGAGACACGGUCCAGACUCCUACGGGAGGCAGCAGUAGGGAAUCUUCCGCAAUGGGCGAAAGCCUGACGGAGCAACGCCGCGUGAGUGAUGAAGGUCUUCGGGUCGUAAAACUCUGUUAUUAGGGAAGAACAUAUGUGUAAGUAACUGUGCACAUCUUGACGGUACCUAAUCAGAAAGCCACGGCUAACUACGUG